Molecule: transfer RNA, 72 nt
Filed under: Trichomalopsis sarcophagae
Lineage: Eukaryota; Metazoa; Arthropoda; Insecta; Hymenoptera; Pteromalidae
Description: tRNA-OTHER
Source: RNAcentral
GUAAACGUUUGCUCAGUGGUUAGAGCUCCCGCUUGUUAAUUUUGGGAUCCACGGUUCAAGCCCGCGUCUACU